RNAcentral lists this ribosomal RNA (305 nucleotides) under uncultured bacterium. RNAcentral describes it as "bacterial SSU rRNA". It matches the Rfam family "Bacterial small subunit ribosomal RNA", at positions 333 to 635 of the family's 1533-position model. The record is from RNAcentral.
UUGCCCCUACGGGGCGCAGCAGUGAGGAAUAUUGGUCAGUGGACGAGAGUCUGAACCAGCCACGUAGCGUGAAGGAUGACUGCCCUAUGGGUUGUAAACUUCUUUUAUAAAGGAAUAAAACGAGGCACGUGUGCCUUUUUGCAUGUACUUUAUGAAUAAGGAUCGGCUAACUCCGUGCCAGCAGCCGCGGUAAUACGGAGGAUCCGAGCGUUAUUCGGAUUUAUUGGGUUUAAAGGGAGCGUAGAUGGGUUGUUAAGUCAGUUGUGAAAGUUUGCGGCUCAUCCGUAAAAUUGCAAUUGAUACUG